AUUGAACGCUGGCGGCAUGCUUUACACAUGCAAGUCGAACGGCAGCGCGGGCUUCGGCCUGGCGGCGAGUGGCGAACGGGUGAGUAAUGCAUCGGAACGUGCCCAGUAGUGGGGGAUAGCCCGGCGAAAGCCGGAUUAAUACCGCAUACGACCUGAGGGUGAAAGCGGGGGACCGAAAGGCCUCGCGCCAUUGGAGCGGCCGAUGUCGGAUUAGCUAGUUGGUGGGGUGAAGGCUUACCAAGGCGACGAUCCGUAGCUGGUCUGAGAGGACGACCAGCCACACUGGGACUGAGACACGGCCCAGACUCCUACGGGAGGCAGCAGUGGGGAAUUUUGGACAAUGGGGGCAACCCUGAUCCAGCCAUGCCGCGUGCGGGAAGAAGGCCUUCGGGUUGUAAACCGCUUUUGUUCGGGAAGAAAUCCUCUGGGCUAAUACCCCGGGGGGAUGACGGUACCGGAAGAAUAAGCACCGGCUAACUACGUG
Molecule: ribosomal RNA, 484 nt
Filed under: uncultured bacterium
Lineage: Bacteria
Description: partial 16S ribosomal RNA
Rfam family: Bacterial small subunit ribosomal RNA
Source: RNAcentral